CGUGAGCACAGAAUCCCUUCUCCGUGUGCGGUGUCAAGAGCGAUGCCAAGUGGGUCAGUGAGCUGUGCCUUGAGCUGCCAGCGCCUCGCAGGCUGCAGGUGCCGCUGCUCGGCCACCCCACAGCGGUGCCAGCAGCAGCAGCAGCAGAGCAGCCCCAGCUGCGGCUGUGCCUCUCCGGUGCCGCUGCCCUCGCUCCUCCCGGGGCUCCACCGUUCUCUGCUGCCCUGGAGACAGCCCCGAGCCCGGCCGUGAGCUCACAGAGCCGGGGCUUCCACGCGUGGAUUCCUCGGGCUGGGCAACGCUGGGGCCCUGGGCAGCCGCAGCUUCUGGGCUGAGAGAAUGCGGUGAAAUGAGGCUCCUGAGGAGGCUCUGCCCUUCAGGAAUGGCCUGCAGAGCUUCACUCCAUUUCAGCCUGGCUGCUGGCAGCUUGCAUGGGGGCUUCUCUUCUUCACUUCUUCAUCUUCUUGCUCCUGGAUGCUUCUUCCUUGCCCUUGGGAAAACGUGCUCUAAGCGUUGUCUCGAGUGUCAGGAUUGCCACAGCCACAUCCCUCUUGCACAGCCCGCUCCAUCAAGAGGUGGAAGUGCCUUUUUAUUUCCACAUCCUACACUGACUUUCCUCUUUCUCAAAUCGAUGGCUCCCAUUUCUUGGCUGUGUUGCAGUGCUCAGAGAAAGAACUACUGGGCAAUUUUGUUUUGCACAUGACUGAAAAGGCUCCAAGGUUAAAUGCACUUUCUGAAGAGGAAUAAAUCCAUGUCUUUGCAGCAGGUGUUGACUUUUCAAGAGGAUUUCAGAAGUGUUCACAACCCUUCCCUUCUCCUUCAUGAAAUGUUUGAUACUUGACUGUUACCAAUAAUCUUAUUAAAUCUUCUGUAUUUUGUUCUUUGUGUUGCAC
Non-coding RNA from Cyanistes caeruleus (blue tit), 893 nucleotides. The record is from RefSeq and is a predicted model, not a curated record. NCBI's taxonomy places the organism in Eukaryota, Metazoa, Chordata, Aves, Passeriformes, Paridae.